GACGAACGCUGGCGGCGUGCUUAACACAUGCAAGUCGAACGGAAAGGCCCUGCUUUUGUGGGGUGCUCGAGUGGCGAACGGGUGAGUAACACGUGAGUAACCUGCCCUUGACUUUGGGAUAACUUCAGGAAACUGGGGCUAAUACCGGAUAGGAGCUCCUGCUGCAUGGUGGGGGUUGGAAAGUUUCGGCGGUUGGGGAUGGACUCGCGGCUUAUCAGCUUGUUGGUGGGGUAGUGGCUUACCAAGGCUUUGACGGGUAGCCGGCCUGAGAGGGUGACCGGCCACAUUGGGACUGAGCUACGGCCCCGACUCCUACGGGCGGCAGCAGUGGGGAAUAUUGCACAAUGGGCGGAAGCCUGAUGCAGCAACGCCGCGUGCGGGAUGACGGCCUUCGGGUUGUAAACCGCUUUCGCCUGUGACGAAGCGUGAGUGACGGUAAUGGGUAAAGAAGCACCGGCUAACUACGUG
Molecule: ribosomal RNA, 468 nt
Filed under: uncultured bacterium
Lineage: Bacteria
Description: partial 16S ribosomal RNA
Rfam family: Bacterial small subunit ribosomal RNA
Source: RNAcentral